This is a long non-coding RNA of Oncorhynchus tshawytscha (Chinook salmon), 1906 nucleotides long. The record is from Ensembl. Lineage: Eukaryota; Metazoa; Chordata; Actinopteri; Salmoniformes; Salmonidae.
CUAACAGUUACUACCCAUAGAGUCAGCUCUAAGGCUAACAGUUACUACCCAUUGAGUCAGCUCUACAGCUAACAGUUACUACCCAUAGAGUCAGCUCUACAGCUAACAGUUACUACCCAUAGAGUCAGCUCUACGGCUAACAGUUACUACCCAUAGAGUCAGCUCUACAGCUAACAGUUACUACCCAUAGAGUCAGCUCUAAGGCUAACAGUUACUUACUACUUAUCGGUAGAUUACUGUGGAUUGCUGUACUGUAUCUGUCUGUAAAUUGGAUCUGGAUUGGUUGGUUGGGAUGGCAGUGUUUGAUUGGCCCACCUUUGCCACUGAUCAGCCAGUCAGAUGAGCGGGGCCUUGGGUUAGGAAGGGGAAUAGGGUAUCCAGUUUUAUAUUUCCCCCACUGAUGGUAAAGGUUAGGAUUGGGGGAAGGGAAGCUGAUCCUAGAUCUGUACCUAGGGAAAACGUCACCCUGGAGCGGGUGGGGAACAUAGUUUGGUUUAGUCUGCUGGUAAACUAAGGCUUCGUGUGAAAUACCAGCCUAUUCCCUAUAUAGUGGGCUUUCAUACUCAGCCUAUCCUAAAGAAUAUGGGUUAUUCAUCAAAUAUCUAGGCAGGAGCCAAGGACUACACAGAUAGAUUUGACACUUCUUCUCUUUCAUUUUUUAAAUGUCUUCCCGAAUCCCCUGAUUUAUGAGAGUCAAAUGUUUGCUCUUGAUUUUAUGUCCUGGUGUAAAUUCUGAAACAUUUGCAAAAACAUUGCUGUGAUUGUAGCUCAGCAUGAAUCAAACCACCGACAUCUUGUGAGUCCAAUAUGAUUAUACUGUAUAUCAACAAUAUAUUGUUCGGUGUGACCAGGGUUGAAUCUUUUGAAUAGUCUUUAGCCAUGACAAGGUGAUGGUGUUUAUGAAAUGAACUUUUGUUGUCUUGGGAGGAUUAUACACACAAAUUGAUAGCACUUCAGAACUCUUCUCCACAUACACCUGUGCUUUAAUGUAAACCUAACAUUAGGUUCCCUUUUAAAACAUCAUACCUGUGGUAACUUAUGAGGGGGACGUGUAAAGCAUUUUCAAAAGUCUGAUAAAUGUAACUUAAUUGUAUGGAACUUUGUUUACAUGAUUGGCAUAGUGGUCUAUUUGCUGUUAUUAGAGGCUAGUUUGGGAGAGGUAGGUAGGCUAUACCUAUGACAGGACAAUGCUUUGCGUCUAUCAAGUUUUCCUCUUUCUAACUUUUAGAACAGUAAACACUUUGCAACAUGGUCUUCGAAGUGCUUAGUACCUUAUCCUUACCUGCCCAGGGUUCUACUGAUAUGGAUUUAAUGGAUAUUAAUUUUUUUUAUUUUAUCUUUAUUUAACCAGGCAAGUCAGUUAAGAACAAAUUCUUAUUUUCAAUGACGGCCUAGGAACAGCGGGUUAACUGCCUGUUCAGGGGCAGAACGACAGAUUUGUACCUUGUCAGCUCGGGGGUUUGAACUUACAACCUUCCGGUUACUAGUCCAACGCUCUAACCACUAGGCUACCCUGCCGCCAAAUAGAAAAGUCUAGAACAAGAAGCACAGUAACAGCCAUUUGUCCAUGGCGUUUACCAACCAAAUUAAUUUGUUUGCAUUGAUUCUAAAGAAAAGCGUAGCCACUUUUAUUACUGUGUAAUAGUUACUCAACCAUUUCUAAUUUACAGAUAAGGACAAAGGUACUGGAUCAUUCCUAGGAUCUGUCCCAAAUCGCAUCCUAUUUCCUAUGUAGGGCACUACUUUGUACAUAGGGAAUAGGGUUCCAUUUGGGACGGAACCAUAGAGAACUGGGCCACAAUCGCAGCGCUCUGAUUGGAGGAGGGGAGGUUAAAGGUUAAUGAUGAUGUCACCUUUUUGGAUUGACUGCAUGUAUGUGUGAUUAAAUCAUUAUGAGUAAAACAUA